RNAcentral lists this transfer RNA (67 nucleotides) under Laonastes aenigmamus (Laotian rock rat). Its description in RNAcentral is "tRNA-Gly". It matches the Rfam family "tRNA". From Rfam's summary of the family: Transfer RNA (tRNA) molecules are approximately 80 nucleotides in length. The record is from RNAcentral. Lineage: Eukaryota; Metazoa; Chordata; Mammalia; Rodentia; Laonastidae.
ACUUUUUUAGUAUAUCAGUACAAUUGACUUCCAAUCAAUUAGCUCUAGUAAAGCCUAGAAAAAAGUA